This 427-nucleotide ribosomal RNA is filed under the name uncultured bacterium. RNAcentral describes it as "bacterial SSU rRNA". It matches the Rfam family "Bacterial small subunit ribosomal RNA", at positions 355 to 774 of the family's 1533-position model. The record is from RNAcentral.
UGGGGAAUUUUGGACAAUGGGCGCAAGCCUGAUCCAGCAAUGCCGCGUGCAGGAUGAAGGCCUUCGGGUUGUAAACUGCUUUUGUACGGAACGAAAAGCCCUUCUCUAAUACAGAGGGGUCAUGACGGUACCGUAAGAAUAAGCACCGGCUAACUACGUGCCAGCAGCCGCGGUAAUACGUAGGGUGCAAGCGUUAAUCGGAAUUACUGGGCGUAAAGCGUGCGCAGGCGGUUUUGCAAGACAGAUGUGAAAUUCCCGGGCUCAACCUGGGAACUGCAUUUGUGACUGCAUAGCUGGAGUGCGGCAGAGGGGGAUGGAAUUCCGCGUGUAGCAGUGAAAUGCGUAGAUAUGCGGAGGAACACCGAUGGCGAAGGCAAUCCCCUGGGCCUGCACUGACGCUCAUGCACGAAAGCGUGGGGAGCAAACA